Long non-coding RNA from Pecten maximus, 330 nucleotides. RefSeq lists it as uncharacterized. The record is from RefSeq and is a predicted model, not a curated record. The transcript has 2 exons. NCBI's taxonomy places the organism in Eukaryota, Metazoa, Mollusca, Bivalvia, Pectinida, Pectinidae.
UUCGAGUGCAAGUUAAACAAAACCGUUCGUACACCGCGGUAACUCGCAGUUGGCCUUACUCGGGCGACGGAGCACAUCCUCUGGUGUCCCGUCGACACGGCCCAGCCCGAUACAUUGACAUGAUUUUACUGGACAUAUAGAUGUUUUGGAAGGUUUCAUUCCUAUUGUAUGUCUCCGGUCUAAUAAUGAAAAUAUUCGAACCAGCAGGACGUUUUGAAUUUGUUCAUUGAGAAAAAUGCCCUGUGACAUUUAUAUUGGAUCAGACUUCGAUUUUAAUUCAUACUCUUGACAAAUACCAAUAAAUCUGAUGGGUCGUCCUGUAAAUUUGAA